Molecule: ribosomal RNA, 150 nt
Filed under: uncultured bacterium
Lineage: Bacteria
Description: partial 16S ribosomal RNA
Rfam family: Bacterial small subunit ribosomal RNA
Source: RNAcentral
CCUACGGGAGGCAGCAGUGGGGAAUUUUGCACAAUGGGCGAAAGCCUGAUCCAGCCAUGCCGCGCCAGGAUGAAGGCCUUCGGGUUGUAAAGUGCUUUCGUCCGGGACGAAAAGCCUCUCUUAAUAAAGGAGGGUCAUGACGUACCGCAG